CCUGUCCCUCCCUGCAAGAAAGGGUCAAGGCUCCCAGGAAAAGAGGAGAUUUUAUAAAACACAUGCAUGGAGUCCGGCUAGCAGCUGAUGAAGAGAAGACAUUGCAGGUUGGAGAAAAAUACUGUCAAGCACACUGAAGCAAAAAAGGAUCCAAAAGAAAAACAUCUGGCAAAACCAAGCAUUUUGAACAUGUCAACUUAUGGUUGA
Molecule: long non-coding RNA, 207 nt
Filed under: Calidris pugnax (ruff)
Lineage: Eukaryota; Metazoa; Chordata; Aves; Charadriiformes; Scolopacidae
Description: lncRNA (ENSCPUG00000019287.1)
Source: RNAcentral